Molecule: long non-coding RNA, 770 nt
Organism: Sarcophilus harrisii (Tasmanian devil)
Lineage: Eukaryota; Metazoa; Chordata; Mammalia; Dasyuromorphia; Dasyuridae
Exons: 4
Source: RefSeq, a predicted model, not a curated record
GUGUGGGCACAGCUCCAGUACACAAAGCAUCACAAAAUCACAAAAAUUAAAAGUUGGAGAGGACCUAGGAAGCCAUGGAUCUCAACUUGUAUCAGAACAAGAGUUCUCUUUACAUUAUACCCCAAAAUGGUGGUUAAGUAUUUAUAUGAGGACCUUUAUUAAGGGAGACCCUGCCAGUCUCAAAACUGUCAAAUGAGUUGUAUGUAGAAUCCACCAGAGGAACAAAGCAAAGGAGAGGUCUGCAAGACAGUCCUGUGGUGAUUCCUUCUUCAUCAUCACUCACCAGGCGGGGAAGACCUUCGGGACAAACUGUCAGCAUUCAUAACAGACCCCAUGUAUCUCCCGUGCACCAGUAUGAGGAGUGAUAAUGAUAUGUUUGCCUUUCAGACUCUUCUUGAAGACCUUCAAGGAGGGAGUUCCUGAUCUCAAGAAACACACAGUCCAGGAGGGGAGAAGAGACAUAUAUCCUGAAGGAGAGAACAAACAGCAAAUAUCAAAGUUCCUGGCAUGGUUACUGGCACACUAUAGUGGUGAAGUCCUGAAUGGUGGGUGUGGUGGACAGAGAGAAACUGAAGAAUUGCUAAUAUAUAUAUUCCCUAGGGAAGACAGGAAGAAGACUCAUAAUCCAGAUUAGUUUAGUUUCAUGGUCCUGCCCUUUGGAGAUAAUCCAGUCAGAAAUCCAAAUUAUGUCAAGUCCCUAAGGCUAAAUUCUCCUUAUAAAUUUACUUAUGCCCCAUUCUGUGGAUACUGCCCUCCUUUGUGUUAGUCUG